GCCCGGGUGGUGGAAUGGCAGACACGGCGGAUUCAAAAUCCGCUGACCUCACGGUCGUGCGGGUUCGAAUCCCGCCCCGGGCA
Molecule: transfer RNA, 83 nt
Filed under: Acidimicrobiales bacterium
Lineage: Bacteria; Bacillati; Actinomycetota; Acidimicrobiia; Acidimicrobiales
Description: tRNA-Leu
Rfam family: tRNA
About the family: Transfer RNA (tRNA) molecules are approximately 80 nucleotides in length. Their secondary structure includes four short double-helical elements and three loops (D, anti-codon, and T loops). Further hydrogen bonds mediate the characteristic L-shaped molecular structure. tRNAs have two regions of fundamental functional importance: the anti-codon, which is responsible for specific mRNA codon recognition, and the 3' end, to which the tRNAs corresponding amino acid is attached (by aminoacyl-tRNA synthetases). tRNAs cope with the degeneracy of the genetic code in two manners: having more than one tRNA (with a specific anti-codon) for a particular amino acid; and 'wobble' base-pairing, i.e. permitting non-standard base-pairing at the 3rd anti-codon position.
Source: RNAcentral